GACAAACGCUGGCGGCGUGCGUAAACAUGCAAGUCGCACGGAGCUUCGGCUCAGUGGCAGACGGCUGAGUAACGCGUAGGGAUCUACCGCUCGGUGGGAAUAACGGCCCGAAGGGUCGCUAAUACCGCAUACGACCACCUUUCGGGUGAGGAAAGCCGUAAGGCGCCGAACGAGGAACCUGCGUCCGAUUAGCUAGUUGGUGGGGUAACGG
RNAcentral lists this ribosomal RNA (211 nucleotides) under uncultured bacterium. RNAcentral's name for it is "partial 16S ribosomal RNA". It matches the Rfam family "Bacterial small subunit ribosomal RNA", at positions 28 to 263 of the family's 1533-position model. The record is from RNAcentral.